This 482-nucleotide ribosomal RNA is filed under the name uncultured bacterium. RNAcentral's name for it is "bacterial SSU rRNA". It matches the Rfam family "Bacterial small subunit ribosomal RNA", at positions 28 to 529 of the family's 1533-position model. The record is from RNAcentral.
GACGAACGCUGGCGGCGUGCUUAACACAUGCAAGUCGAACGGGAGUAUUGAAGAAGCUUGCUUUAGAGAUACUUUAGUGGCGGACGGGUGAGUAACGCGUGAGGAGCUGUCCUAUGCAGGGGGACAACAGCUGGAAACGGCUGCUAAUACCCCAUAAGCCGAGAGGUAAAAGGAUCAAUCCGGCAGAGGAGGUACUCGCGUCCUAUCAGCUAGUAGGUGAGGUAACGGCUCACCUAGGCGAAGACGGGUAGCCGGCCUGAGAGGGCGAACGGCCACACUGGAACUGAGAUACGGUCCAGACUCCUACGGGAGGCAGCAGUGGGGAAUAUUGGGCAAUGGGGGAAACCCUGACCCAGCGACGCCGCGUGGGUGAAGAAAUCCUUCGGGAUGUAAAGCCCUGUUGUAUGGGAAGAGCGGAAGACGGUACCAUACGAGGAAGCCCGGCAAACUACGUGCCAGCAGCCGCGGUAAGCAUACUCGUA